Molecule: long non-coding RNA, 631 nt
Filed under: Homo sapiens (human)
Lineage: Eukaryota; Metazoa; Chordata; Mammalia; Primates; Hominidae
Description: non-protein coding DARS-AS1:50
Source: RNAcentral
CCGUUCUGGGCUUCUGGCUGCAUUCUAGGAAGAUCAUUCCUUAAAAGAAAUAGCCAUAUGGCUUAUAAGGGACUAUAUCUUAAGACUAUGUGUCUUCUGCAGUUCUUUGCAUAGAGUCAACGUUGAAGGACAAGCAACUUCAAAUUUCCAAGCAACAAAAUUAUGUUCGGGUGGUUUUCUGAAAGCGAGAUCUUAAGAACCACCUGUAUCAGAAUCCCAUGAAGAGCUUGUUUAGUGUGCAAAUUUACAGAUUGUCCCCCCUCAGAAAUGCUCAUUUAGGAGUUCCUGUCCUUUGCGGGGACAUGGAUGAAGCUGGAAACCAUCAUUCUCAGCAAACUAACACAGGAACAGAAAACCAAACACUGCAUGUUCUCACUCAAAAGUGGGAGUUGAACAAUGAGAACACAUGGACACAGGGAGGGGAACGUCACACACCAGGGCCUGUCGGGGGUGGGAGGUAAGGGGAGGGAGAGGAUUAGGACAAAUACCUAAUGCAUGUGGGGCUUAAAACCUAGAUGAUGGGUUGAUAGGUGCAGCAAACCACCAUGGACAUGUAUACCUAUGUAACAAACUUGCAUGUUCAGUACAUGUAUCCCAGAACUUAAAGUAAAAUAUAAAACAAUAAUAAAAA